Molecule: RNA transcript, 5448 nt
Organism: Brassica napus (rape)
Lineage: Eukaryota; Viridiplantae; Streptophyta; Magnoliopsida; Brassicales; Brassicaceae
Exons: 7
Source: RefSeq, a predicted model, not a curated record
AUUUGAGUUAUUGGUCUCAUAUAUAUCAUUUUACAUAAUGUUUGAUUAUGUUGAUCAUAUGCGUUCAUAGAUCAUCUUGAUUGUACUAAUUCGGUACAUGAUUUGUAGUGUUGAUGUAAUUCCUUUAUCUAUAGCGUUUUGGUUUUGUUAUAUUUGGAAUUGGUCCUUGACGUUAUGGUUUAGCUCUUUCUGAUUCAAUUUUCAUUCUCAAAUCCAAUUUACUGAUUUUGAAGAGAAAUUAGAUUGACAUCUCAGUUGGUUAAACCUCGUUUUGUUCUUCUUCUCGUUACGAUAAACCCUAAUCAAUCAAAACACUCCACGAAUUCAAAAAAAAAAAUGUUGUGGAUUCCACCACUAAGGAUAAACACAAAAAGAAGGAAAAAAGGAAGAGCAACUCGGGAGAUGGAAGAGGGAAACAUGGGAUCUGAGUAACUGUGGGAGAGGCAACUGGCUGGGAGACACAUCGUUGACAAACGAAACAUCAUGUAAAACGGUUAGAUAUUGUCGGAUUAAAAGUGUUUGGCAAGAGAAUGAACAGUGUUAUUACCUUAUAUAGAGGUGAGCUAGGUCAUCCUGAUUGUGGGCUUUUUGCUCAGAGCCAUGGGUCAUCCUGAUUGUGGGCUGCUUUCUUUAAUCAACUGAACUGCGAGAAUAAUUGAUUCAAGUUUCAUUCUCAACCCCAAUUUACUGUUCUUGAAGAGAAAUUAGAUUGAUAGUUCAGUUGGUUAAACCUCGUUUGUUCUUCUUUUCUCGUUAUGAUAAACUCUAAUCAAUCAAACCACUCCACGAAUUCAAAAAAUAUGUUGUGGAUUCCACCACUAAGGAUAAACACAAAAAGAAAGAGAAACACUUUCUUUCAUUGAAGAUUACUGAUGAAUUAAUCAAAUCCCUCUGACUAAUUUCUCUUUUGACAUACGAUGGAUUGUAUCUUAGGGGAUUAACUCCUUACUAUUCCUCUUUGAGGUUUUAUCUUUCUAUCCUUUCGAUUUCGUGAAGAAAUACAUCCCAAGAGAUGCAUAGCCCGAUUUACAUGUAGUGAAAUUUUUGUGCAGUUACUAACUCUUUCUUGGUGGAAAUUACACUUUCAGAUUUGUUAUUUGAGGAUUAUACAGUUUGCAGUAAAAUCUCUUUGGAUAAAUAUCAUUUCUAUGUAUCUUUGACGUAUGCUAAGCCCAAUGACACUAUUUUGGGGAAAUUGAACUUCCGUUCGAUUUACAAGAGUGUUUCCACCAAUGUCACACUCGGCACCAAUUCUUCUGUAAGCAGUUUUUAAAUGAUUUUUUUAGAAAUUCAAUAAUAAAUAAUAAAUUUGCUUGCUUUAUUUAUUUGUUUGCUAGUUUCAGUUAGCUAUAAAGUCCUCAAUCCAACAAGUAGCUUGGGAUCUUAUGUUUGGUUUAUCGUGUGUGUCUCUCUCUCUCUCUCUAUUUGAUUCGGGUGUUCCAAAUUAUGUCAUCGUAAUCUACCAUAUCUUCCUGUUUUUCUAUUUUCUACAAUACUACAAUGGAUGUAUUUGAUCGGAUUUGAGGUUGCAAAAAUUAUUUGUUCAUUGAUCUCAAGAGAUCCUAUAGAAAUAAUGAAGUUGAGUUAUUGGUUUCAUUUAUAUCAUUUAACAUAAUAUUUUAUUAAUGUGAUCAUAUGUAUUCAUAGAUAUGAUUGUACUUAUUCGGUACAGGAUUUGUAGUGUUGAUUUAAUUCUUUUGAUCUAUUGAUUUUUGGUUUUGUUAUAUUUUGAAUUAGUUAUUGAUAUUCUGGUUUAGCUCCUUCCGCUUCAAUUUUCAUUUCCAAACCCUCAUCAAUUUACUGGCCAUAUCAUUUUUAUCUUUUUGAAUAGAAAUUAGAUUGAUACUCCAGUUGGUUAAAUCUUGCUUUGUUCUUCUUCUCGCUACAAUAAACUCUAUCACAAUUAAACACUCCAUGAAUUCGAAAAAAAUGUUGUUGAUUCCACCACAAAGGAUAAGCACAAGAAAUCAGAAGAAACACUUUCUUCCAUUGACAUGCGAUGGAUUGUAUCUUAGGGGAUUAACUUUUGAGGUUUUAUCUUACUAUAUUUCUUUAAGGUUUUAUCCUAUUAAUCCUCUGAUUUCAUAAAAAAAUAUCUCCCAAUAGAAGUUUUUUUUUUGCAUUAGAAUCUUUCAUUAACUGAUAGGAAGAUCACUUAGUCUGUUAUAUUUUUCCUUUAAAAAAAGAUAAGAAAUGGUUUCAAGUAUUCUGAUUGAUUAUUUUUUAAUUCAGAACUUUGUUUCUACACUAAAAUAGACAGAAAAAUCCAGAGGUAUAUAAGUUUUUCUUUACUAUAAUGAUAUUUUGUGCAUUCUUAUUUUCUUAAUAACUUGGAAAUUGCAAUCGCAGAUUUGUUGUCCGAGGACUAUACGGUUUACAGUAAAAUCUCUUUGGAUAAAUACACUUUUUCUAUUUCUUUGACUCAUGCUCAUCUCAAUGACAUUACUUUGGGGAAAUUGAACUACCAAUGGAUUUACAAGAGUGUGACAAAUGAACGCUAUAAAUUCAGUAAUGAAUUUGUUUGCUUGUUUUGUUGGCUAUCAAGUCCACUAUAAAAUAAGUUGAUUUAGGACUUACGCAUGGUCUAUCAUUUGUCUCUCUCUCUUUGAUCUCUAUAGUUCCAAAUUCAGGCAAGGUAUAGAUAGAGGUCCAGUUCAUGUAUGAUUUAUGCUGCUUUAAGCUCCCUAUGAUGGCCAUCAUCAUGAUCUUUUUCUCGAUGUGUAAAAAUACAUGCAUGAUACGAAUAACACAAUUUUUGAUAGGACAGGAUUCCUAUGAUGGCCAUCAUCGUCCACUGGAUUUUAAAUCAUCCCUAGGAUAUUACAUAUUACCAUAACCUAGAAAGUAUCGCAUAUAGCAAGGCCAACUACAAUUUAGAACUUGCUAGCCACUGCUUCGUGACAACUUUUUUGAGUUGAAACCUUUUUAAUGUAGCACACCGCACAUCCGUCCGGAUAUUUUUAUUUUAUAAAUGUAUAAUUUUGAUAUUAACAUAAAAGUUUUAAAUAUAUUAUUUACAUUUAAUGUUAUAUGUUAUGUAAUUUUAUAAUUUUAUUAUUUAGAUUUUUUAUUCGAUAUCGUUAAUAUAUAGUGAUUUAUUUUACAUAUUUUAUUUUAUUAUUAGUUUUUUUACUAAUAUGUGUUCAAGCUCGAUACAAUAAAUUUGUAAUCUGAAAUUAAUCAAAUAGAAAAUAUCUCUCAAUUUUUUUUAAAAUUGUUACAAUUCCCAUACAAUAUGUUUUAAAAUUUUAUUUAGUUAUAUUGCAGAAGCAAUAUUUGUUUAGGAUAAUUUAUAUAUGUAUGUUGUGUUUAAAAAAUAUAUUUUUAACAUCUAUCAUUUUAGUAUUUCACGAGAUUGUAUAAGUAAAUUCAUUGUUCUAUUUAAAUAAUAUAGCUCUAUUAUUUUAUUAAGUUUUAUACAUCGUAGCAUCUAUCAUAUUAUUUUGGUAAAUUUUAUCGAUAUAUAAUAUUUUGGAUAUUAUGAUAUUAAGUCUUUUGAUUUUUGUUAUUAAAUUAACAUUUUAAAUAUUGGAUAACUUUGAUUUUUACAACAUAUUUUGUUUUUGUUUUGUGUUGCAUAUCAAAGUAUUAAAAAGUUAAUAUAUUGUUGUAGAUAUAAAAUUUCAACAUAUGUUAAUAAUUUUAAUUUUUUUAUAAAAUAGUACAUGGUUUACGAAUGUUAACCCAAAGUGAUAAUUUAUUUAAAUGAAAGCCUUUAAAAGAUAAAAAUUGGUGCACAAAAACAAAUCAGAAAAAAACUAAAAUUAAAUUUUUAGAAAAAGGGACAAAGAGUAUAUAAUAGUCGGAGAAGGAGAGCGAGCCCUAGUUUCCCGAUCAUGGCGGCAAUUCUGAAAUCCGUCAAUUUUGCGCAGGUAACUCACGGUGGGAGAUCCAUUGCCCGCAAUUUCUCUUCGUACCGCAGAAGAAGAAGAAGCUAUGAGUCUAAGGGAAGAGGAAUAGGAAUAGUAGAUGUCUUAAUCCGAGGUGCAGGAGUCACUCUGGGUUGUUACUUUGGUUAUUUGUUCACUGGACACUGGAUACCAGAACUCGAGGAGAAACGGCAAGAGGUAAACCGGCAAAAGCGAAAUAAGAAUAAUCUAUAUAUAAUAGCAAACUAGAUUUUGUUGCCAGAUGACGUAAUCACUUUUUUAUAGGAAAAUAAAAUAUAAAUCUGACGGUAGAGUUUAUCCUGAAAAUAUAAUCCAAUGGAUAUGAUUUUAUGAGAAGAUGAAGCUAUGACGUCAUUGAUUUGUUAUACCGAUCGACGUCUUCAUCCAACAAAUUCACACCGAUACAAAGGCACCUCUUAAACAAGUCAUCUUCCACUAAGAAUCACAUUUUUUCAGUUUUAUAUAUUGAAGGUGUGUCUUAGACAAUUCAUCUUCCUGUAAGAGUUGCAUCUUUUCAGUUUUAUAUAUUGAAGGUGUCUCUUAAACAAUUCAUCUUCCUCUAAGAGUUACAUCUUUUCAAUGUUAUAUAUUGAAGGAAUUGUAUAGGUUGUUAGAUUGAUCUGAGGUUUCUCCCAUUAUUUUGUUUGUUUCUUAUAUCUCUCUUUCUGGAUUUUUAAUUUUUUUGUUGUUGCAGUCCUUUGCAGACGAUCUUCUUUUCUGUACUCUCUCUCAUUUUCAGAUUAUUCUCUCUCACAUUCUGGCCAUGUUGAGUUUAUGUAUUUUCCAGUCUAUUUCUCUACAAGUAUUGUCUAGGAUGAGUUUCUGAAUAUCUAUAGAAACCACAAUUCAAUACAAGUCAUUCAUUCGCUCUAUCAUAAUAGCGAGAAGUGUAUGUAGGAUCCACAACUAAGAACUCAAUCAUUCGCUCAAUACCGAUAAGUUGCGUCUCGACUCUCGAUCAAGGUGUUGUCGGCUUAGUUUCUGCAAUUAUUGUCAAACUGUGCAAAAAAAAAAAAACAGGUCACUUCAGUGCUGCUGCCCUUAAUAAUCUCGUCACAUGCACACCAUUAGCCAUACUAAUGUUCAUUUUGGAUCAAGAAUGUGAAUCACAAAGGGAAGUAAUGAAUUGAAGAUGGUAACAUAAUCGGUGUAGAUGGUAAUAUGAAGCUGAUUUUGUACCUUGGUUCAAGAGAUUCGAAUGGAGGUUCACGCUGGUCUGUAGCCUUUGUCUCCGAAACUGAUUCGUCCGACAGUGCCAAUGACACGUCCGAAACAUAUUGAAAAAGAGUUUGCGGCGAUUUUAGAUUUUUAGCUCGACUUGUCCAUCGCCAUGGGUCUUCACACCAAGCCCGAGAAUGCCAUUCACGGAUUGACGGUUCAGGAAAAAGCCAGUCUCUCUGACCGCAGCAUCAUCACAAACAAGGAGUCAGUUCUUUUGACAUAUCCUUGAUUGCCUCAGGUUCUCAAACAGCAGGAUAGCUGACGGAGCCGUGCAUGAGUCUUAAGUGAGACAAAAGACAUAGACUUUUGUGCAUGUCUAGAUAACAUUUCAUAUUCA